This 67-nucleotide transfer RNA is filed under the name Homaloptera confuzona. RNAcentral's name for it is "tRNA-Ser". The record is from RNAcentral. Lineage: Eukaryota; Metazoa; Chordata; Actinopteri; Cypriniformes; Balitoridae.
GAGAAAGGCAAGAAGCAAUAAGCACUGCUAAUACUUAUAUCCGCGGCUAAACUCCGCGGCUUUCUCG